GUGGGGAAUAUUGGGCAAUGGGCGCAAGCCUGACCCAGCAACGCCGCGUGAGGGAAGAAGGCUUCCGGGUUGUAAACCUCUGUCCUUGGUGACGAAACAAAUGACGGUAGCCAAGGAGGAAGCCCCGGCUAACUACGUGCCAGCAGCCGCGGUAAUACGUAGGGGGCGAGCGUUGUCCGGAAUUACUGGGCGUAAAGGGUGCGUAGGUGGCCUUUUAAGUUGGAUGUGAAAUACCCGGGCUUAACUUGGGGGGUGCAUCCAAAACUGGGAGGCUAGAGUGCAGGAGAGGAAAGCGGAAUUCCUAGUGUAGCGGUGAAAUGCGUAGAUAUUAGGAGGAACACCAGUGGCGAAGGCGGCUUUCUGGACUGUAACUGACACUGAGGCACGAAAGCGUGGGGAGCAAACAGGAUUAGAUACCCCGGUAGUCC
Molecule: ribosomal RNA, 428 nt
Filed under: uncultured bacterium
Lineage: Bacteria
Description: partial 16S ribosomal RNA
Rfam family: Bacterial small subunit ribosomal RNA
Source: RNAcentral